AUACGGAGGGUGCAAGCGUUACUCGGAAUCACUGGGCGUAAAGCGCGCGCAGGCGGCCAUUUAAGUUGGAUGUGAAAGCCUACGGCUCAACCGUAGAACUGCAUCCAAAACUAUUUGGCUAGAGUGUGGGAGAGGAAGAUGGAAUUAGUUGUGUAGGGGUAAAAUCCGUAGAGAUAACUAGGAAUACCAAAAGCGAAGGCAAUCUUCUGGAACAUUACUGACGCUGAGGCGCGAAAGCGUGGGGAGCAAACAGGAUUAGAAACCCCUGUAGUCC
RNAcentral lists this ribosomal RNA (274 nucleotides) under uncultured bacterium. RNAcentral's name for it is "partial 16S ribosomal RNA". It matches the Rfam family "Bacterial small subunit ribosomal RNA", at positions 523 to 796 of the family's 1533-position model. The record is from RNAcentral.